UAUCUAGUUGGCCAAACAAAACCCACAACUCGAAGAGAAUUAGAAGGAUAUGAAAUCAUGCAUAAGAGAGAUAAGAAGAAACUCAAAUAAGAUUCAUAGAAAAUCUGAUCAUAAAUCCACAAUUCAUUGGAUCUCGACAAACACACCGCAAAAGAAGAUUACAUCAGAUAGAUCUCCAUGAAGAUCAUGGAGAACUUUGUAUUGAAGAUCCAAGAGAGAGAAGAAGCCAUCUAGUUACUAGCUAUGGACGCGUAGGUCUAUGAUGAACUACUCACGCAUCAUCGGAGAGGUCAUGGUGUUGAUGAAGAAGCCCUCCGUAUCCGAAUCCCCCUC
Molecule: long non-coding RNA, 333 nt
Filed under: Hordeum vulgare
Lineage: Eukaryota; Viridiplantae; Streptophyta; Magnoliopsida; Poales; Poaceae
Description: long non-coding RNA (HVUL_LNC015331)
Source: RNAcentral